This 82-nucleotide microRNA precursor is filed under the name Sus scrofa (pig). Its description in RNAcentral is "mir-1179 microRNA precursor family". It matches the Rfam family "mir-1179 microRNA precursor family". The record is from Rfam by way of RNAcentral. Lineage: Eukaryota; Metazoa; Chordata; Mammalia; Artiodactyla; Suidae.
CCAGAAAGGAAGAAGCAUUCUUUCACUGGUUGGUGUGUAUUGCUUUGUUAACCAAUGGGAGGAUGCCAUUUAUCCUCUUCUG